Molecule: long non-coding RNA, 299 nt
Filed under: Capsella rubella
Lineage: Eukaryota; Viridiplantae; Streptophyta; Magnoliopsida; Brassicales; Brassicaceae
Description: long non-coding RNA (CRUB_LNC003715)
Source: RNAcentral
UCACAUGUGUGAUUGAUAGAUUAGAAAUUUAUGUUUAUUUUGACUAAAUUUAUGAUUAUUUUAAAUGAAUUUUAUCCGAUAAAUGGUUUAUCUUCAGCCACUUUAGCUAUUUCUCCGUAAUUAUGUAAUUAUGUUCUAAUACAAUUUAUCCCAAAAAAAAAGAAAAAUUUCACAACAAAAUAAAAAAACAUCCAUUUAACUUUUAUAACAAAGAUUUUUAACAAUAUAUAAUUAUCGAUGGACCAAAGAAGAGACACAUAAUUGUGUAUAUGAUACCUUGAUGCGUGCGUGUAAAAGCG